CGAGCAGGCGGAGGCGUCGACGCGCGUCUCCAGCUUCGGUCGCCUGAGUCGCGAAGAGCCACUGGCGAGCCCGUCCGCCUGCGUG
Molecule: non-coding RNA, 85 nt
Filed under: unclassified sequences
Description: c-di-GMP sequence
Rfam family: c-di-GMP-II-GCG riboswitch aptamer
Source: Rfam by way of RNAcentral